Molecule: unclassified non-coding RNA, 337 nt
Filed under: Hevea brasiliensis (rubber tree)
Lineage: Eukaryota; Viridiplantae; Streptophyta; Magnoliopsida; Malpighiales; Euphorbiaceae
Source: RNAcentral
AUUACAGUAGUGGUGGAGGAGUUCGUGGUGGCUAUAGCAGCGGCGGCGGCGGCGGGGAUUAUAAUGGGAACCGUGGUGGCAGAUCUGAUAAUUACGGCGGGAGAGGUGGUUCAUAUGCUGAUGAGCGAGGCAGAGAUGACAGUGGCUACGCACAGGUUCCUCCGCCUGCUCAGGCCCCGUACACCGCACCUGCUGGAGGUUAUCCUCCUGCACCAAAUACUUAUGGGUCUAAUUCUGCCCCACCUGUAGCCCCUACUUAUGGUGCGCCCACGCCGAGCAGUUAUGGUGGUGGUGCUCCGGCGGGCCGUGGGGGUCCUCCGCCUAGCUAUGAUGGUGG